UAGGGAAUCUUCCGCAAUGGGCGAAAGCCUGACGGAGCAACGCCGCGUGAGUGAUGAAGGUCUUCGGAUCGUAAAACUCUGUUAUCAGGGAAGAACAAAUGUGUAAGUAACUGUGCACAUCUUGACGGUACCUGAUCAGAAAGCCACGGUUAACUACGUGCCAGCAGCCGCGGUAAUACGUAGGUGGCAAGCGUUAUCCGGAAUUAUUGGGCGUAAAGCGCGCGUAGGCGGUUUUUUAAGUCUGAUGUGAAAGCCCACGGCUCAACCGUGGAGGGUCAUUGGAAACUGGAAAACUUGAGUGCAGAAGAGGAAAGUGGAAUUCCAUGUGUAGCGGUGAAAUGCGCAGAGAUAUGGAGGAACACCAGUGGCGAAGGCGACUUUCUGGUCUGUAACUGACGCUGAUGUGCGAAAGCGUGGGGAUCAAACAGGAUUAGAUACCCUGGUAGUCCACGCCGUAAACGAUGAGUGCUAAGUGUUAGGGGGUUUCCGCCCCCUUAGUGCUGCAGCUAACGCAUUAAGCACUCCGCCUGGGGAGUACGACCGCAAGGUUG
RNAcentral lists this ribosomal RNA (551 nucleotides) under uncultured bacterium. RNAcentral's name for it is "bacterial SSU rRNA". It matches the Rfam family "Bacterial small subunit ribosomal RNA", at positions 355 to 896 of the family's 1533-position model. The record is from RNAcentral.